AGAGUUUGAUCCUGGCUCAGGAUGAACGCUAGCGACAGGCUUAACACAUGCAAGUCGAGGGGCAGCGGGGAGGUAGCAAUACUUCCGCCGGCGACCGGCGCACGGGUGAGUAACACGUAUGGAACCUGCCCGUAGCAGGGGGAUAAGCGGAAGAAAUUCCGUCUAAUACCGCGUAAUAAUUCCGAGAGGCAUCUCAUGGGGUUUAAAGGGUAAUACCGGCUACGGAUGGCCAUGCGGCGCAUUAGCUAGUUGGCGGGGUAACGGCCCACCAAGGCGACGAUGCGUAGGGGUUCUGAGAGGAAGGUCCCCCACACUGGUACUGAGACACGGACCAGACUCCUACGGGAGGCAGCAGUGAGGAAUAUUGGUCAAUGGGCGCGAGCCUGAACCAGCCAAGUCGCGUGAGGGAAGACGGUCCUAUGGAUUGUAAACCUCUUUUGUCGGGGAGCAAAAGACGUCACGUGUGGCGUUCCGAGAGUACCCGAAGAAAAAGCAUCGGCUAACUCCGUGCCAGCAGCCGCGGUAAUACGGAGGAUGCGAGCGUUAUCCGGAUUUAUUGGGUUUAAAGGGUGCGUAGGCGGACGCUUAAGUCAGCGGUAAAAUUGCGGGGCUCAACCUCGUCGAGCCGUUGAAACUGGGUGCCUUGAGUGGGCGAGAAGUACGCGGAAUGCGUGGUGUAGCGGUGAAAUGCAUAGAUAUCACGCAGAACUCCGAUUGCGAAGGCAGCGUACCGGCGCCCAACUGACGCUGAAGCACGAAGGCGUGGGUAUCGAACAAGAUUAGAUACCCUGGUAGUCCACGCAGUAAACGAUGAAUGCUGGCUGUCGGGGGGGAUUGACCCCUGGGUGGGGAAACCGAAAGCGAUAAGCAUUCCACCUGGGGAGUACGCCCGGCAACGGUGAAACUCAAAGGAAUUGACGGGGGCCCGCACAAGCGGAGGAACAUGUGGUUUAAUUCGAUGAUACGCGAGGAACCUUACCCGGGCUCAAACGGGGAGUGACUCAGGCAGAGACGCCUGUUUCCCACGGGACACUCCCCGAGGUGCUGCAUGGUUGUCGUCAGCUCGUGCCGUGAGGUGUCGGCUUAAGUGCCAUAACGAGCGCAACCCCCGCGUGCAGUUGCUAACAGAUAACGCUGAGGACUCUGCACGGACUGCCGGCGCAAGCCGCGAGGAAGGCGGGGAUGACGUCAAAUCAGCACGGCCCUUACGUCCGGGGCGACACACGUGUUACAAUGGGUGGUACAGCGGGAAGCCAGGCGGCGACGCCGAGCGGAACCCGAAAUCCACUCUCAGUUCGGAUCGGAGUCUGCAACCCGACUCCGUGAAGCUGGAUUCGCUAGUAAUCGCGCAUCAGCCAUGGCGCGGUGAAUACGUUCCCGGGCCUUGCACUCACCGCCCGUCA
Molecule: ribosomal RNA, 1403 nt
Filed under: uncultured bacterium
Lineage: Bacteria
Description: 16S ribosomal RNA
Rfam family: Bacterial small subunit ribosomal RNA
Source: RNAcentral